GAGAUCGGGAUAACACCUGGAAACAGAUGCUAAUACCGGAUAACAACAGAUGAUGCCUAUCAACUGUUUAAAAGUAUGGUUCUGCUAUCACUCUCGGAUGGACCUGCGGUGCAUUAGCUAGUUGGUAGGGUAACGGCCUACCAAGGCGAUGAUGCAUAGCCCGAGUUGAGAGACUGAUCGGGCCACAUUGGGGACUGAGACACGGGGCCCAAAACUCCUACGGGGGGAGGGGCAGCAGGUAGGGGGAAUCUUCCACAAUGGACGCAAGUCUGAUGGAGCAACGCCGCGUGAGUGAAGAAGGGUUUCGGCUCGUAAAGCUCUGUUGUUGGUGAAGAAGGACAGGGGUAGUAACUGGCCUUUAUUUGACGGUAAUCAACCAGAAAGUCACGGCUAACUACGUGCCAGCAGCCGCGGUAAU
Molecule: ribosomal RNA, 418 nt
Filed under: uncultured Lactobacillus sp.
Lineage: Bacteria; Bacillati; Bacillota; Bacilli; Lactobacillales; Lactobacillaceae
Description: bacterial SSU rRNA
Rfam family: Bacterial small subunit ribosomal RNA
Source: RNAcentral